CGCUAUCACUCCUACGGGGAGGCAGCAGUGGGGAAUAUUGCACAAUGGGGGAAACCCUGAUGCAGCCAUGCCGCGUGUGUGAAGAAGGCCUUCGGGUUGUAAAGCACUUUCAGUAGGGAGGAAGGUAGUGUAGUUAACACCUGCACUAUUUGACGUUACCUACAGAAGAAAGCACCGGCUAACUCCGUGCCAGCAGCCGCGGUAAUACGGAGGGUGCGAGCGUUAAUCGGAAUUACUGGGCGUAAAGCGCAUGCAGGCGGCCUGUUAAGUCAGAUGUGAAAGCCCGGGGCUUAACCUCGGAAUUGCAUUUGAAACUGGCAGGCUAGAGUCUUGUAGAGGGGGGUAGGAAUUUCAGGUGUAGCGGUGAAAAUGCGUAGAGAUCUGAAGGAAUACCAGUGGCGAAGGCGGCCCCCUGGACAAAGACUGACGCUCAGAUGCGAAAGCGUGGGGAGCAAACAGGAUUAGAUACCCUGGUAG
RNAcentral lists this ribosomal RNA (477 nucleotides) under uncultured bacterium. RNAcentral describes it as "bacterial SSU rRNA". It matches the Rfam family "Bacterial small subunit ribosomal RNA", at positions 328 to 793 of the family's 1533-position model. The record is from RNAcentral.